GCCCUGUGGCUAGUGGAUGCAGCUGUUCAUGGUCAGCUCUCCAGCAGGGAGAAGGGGCAGAGCAAUUCUGUAAUUUAUGCACGAGGGCUAUUUCUCCUCAGCAGCCUCCAUAGCCCAUCAGAGAAAUGG
Molecule: small nucleolar RNA, 129 nt
Organism: Sorex fumeus (smoky shrew)
Lineage: Eukaryota; Metazoa; Chordata; Mammalia; Eulipotyphla; Soricidae
Product: small nucleolar RNA SNORA84
Exons: 1
Source: RefSeq, a predicted model, not a curated record